GUCUGGCCGUAAACUUUUAUUUACAUAUUUUAUCGCCAGGGAACUACGAGCAAAGCUUAAAACCCAAGGGACUUGACGGUACCCCAUAUCCCCCUAGAGGAGCCUGUCCUAUAAUCGAUAACCCCCGUUUAACCUCACCACUUUUAGUUUAUAUCAGCCUGUAUACCUCCGUCGCCAGCUUACCACGUGAGCGAAUAAUAGUGAGCUUAAUGACAUUACACCAAUACGUCAGGUCAAGGUGCAGUAAAUAAAGUGGAAAGAGAUGGGCUACACUUUCUAAAAUAGAAAAUACAAAAGACUACUUAUGAAAUCUAGUCAGAAGGUGGAUUUAGCAGUAAAAAGAAAUCAGAGUGUUCUUUUUAACACGGCACUGGGGUGUGUACACACCGCCCGUCACCCUCCUCAUAAGCCAAAAACAGUAUUUAACUAAUUUUACGCACCAUAGAAGAGGCAAGUCGUAACAUGGUAAGUAUACCGGAAGGUGUGCUUGGAUCAA
RNAcentral lists this ribosomal RNA (496 nucleotides) under Cycloramphus granulosus. Its description in RNAcentral is "partial small subunit ribosomal RNA". It matches the Rfam family "Bacterial small subunit ribosomal RNA", at positions 794 to 1525 of the family's 1533-position model. Lineage: Eukaryota; Metazoa; Chordata; Amphibia; Anura; Cycloramphidae. The record is from RNAcentral.